UUGAGAGAAAAAAGACAUAAU
Molecule: microRNA, 21 nt
Filed under: Corchorus olitorius
Lineage: Eukaryota; Viridiplantae; Streptophyta; Magnoliopsida; Malvales; Malvaceae
Description: ath-miR863-
Source: RNAcentral